CCUACGGGUGACAGCAGUGGGGAAUAUUGGGCAAUGGGCGCAAGCCUGACCCAGCAACGCCGCGUGAAGGAAGAAGGCUUUCGGGUUGUAAACUUCUUUUCUCAGGGACGAAGAAAGUGACGGUACCUGAGGAAUAAGCCACGGCUAACUACGGGCCAGCAGCCGCGGUAAUACGUAGGUGGCAAGCUUUAUCCGGAUUUACUGGGUGUAAAGGGCGUGUAGGCGGGAAAGCAAGUCAGAUGUGAAAACCAUGGGCUCAACCUGUGGCCUGCAUUUGAAACUGUUUUUCUUGAGUACUGGGGAGGCAGACGGAAUUCCUCGUGUAGCGGUGAAAUGCGUAGAUAUGAGGAGGAACACCAGUGGCGAAGGCGGUCUGCUGGACAGCAACUGACGCUGAGGCGCGAAAGCGUGGGGAGCAAACAGGAUUAGAUACCCGGGUAGUC
RNAcentral lists this ribosomal RNA (443 nucleotides) under uncultured bacterium. RNAcentral's name for it is "partial 16S ribosomal RNA". It matches the Rfam family "Bacterial small subunit ribosomal RNA", at positions 338 to 795 of the family's 1533-position model. The record is from RNAcentral.